This 254-nucleotide ribosomal RNA is filed under the name uncultured bacterium. Its description in RNAcentral is "partial 16S ribosomal RNA". It matches the Rfam family "Bacterial small subunit ribosomal RNA", at positions 524 to 776 of the family's 1533-position model. The record is from RNAcentral.
UACGAAGGGGGCUAGCGUUGUUCGGAAUCACUGGGCGUAAAGCGCACGCAGGCGGAUUGAUAAGUCAGGGGUGAAAUCCCGGAGCUCAACUUCGGAAUUGCCUUUGAUACUGUCUAUCUUCGAGUUCGGGAGAGGUUGGCGGAAUUCCUAGUGUAGAGGUGAAAUUCGUAGAUAUUAGGAAGAACACCAAUGGCGAAGGCAGCUUGCUGGGACGGUACUGACGCUGAGGCGCGAAAGCGUGGGGAGCAAACAGG